This 852-nucleotide long non-coding RNA is filed under the name Lytechinus variegatus (green sea urchin). RNAcentral's name for it is "uncharacterized LOC121422788, transcript variant X2". The record is from RNAcentral. Lineage: Eukaryota; Metazoa; Echinodermata; Echinoidea; Temnopleuroida; Toxopneustidae.
AAAAUAAGACAACUAAUGCAAAGCCUUCUCUCAACGAGGCCAAAGUGGAGAUAGUUGUGGCUUCUACUAAAUUAGGAGGAACGGAUCAGGACAGGGAUCAUGGUCAAGAAUCAGGACCAAGAAUAAGGACCCAGUAGCAGGGUCAGGACCAAGGACCAGCCCCUUGGAGCAGGACCGAGGAGCAGAACUGAAGAUCAGGACUGAGGAUCAGAAUCGAAGAUCAGGACCAAGGACUAGGACUGAGAGCAGACCAAGGAUCAGGACCGAGGUUCAGGACUGAGAGCAGGAUCCAGGAUCAUGUCCAAGACUCAGGACCGAGGAGCUGGACCGAGGAUCAGCACAGAGGACUAGGAUCAGGACCAAGGAGCAGGACCGAAGAUCAGGACCGAGCAUCAGGACCAAGGAUAAGGACCGAGGAUCAGGACCAAGGAUUAGGACUGAGAGCAGGACCAAGGUUCAGGGCCAAGGAGCAGGACUGCGAGCAGGAUCGAGACUCAGGACCGAGGACCAGGACCAUGUACCAGAUCAUGCAGAGGACUAAGGACCGAUCUUGACGAGACCAAUCCACUUCAAGAAAAGCCAGAUGGGAUUCAGCAGCCUCUCGCCAAAUAGAAGAUGUCCUGCCUCAAGAACAAUGCUGAGCCAACCGGUGGUGAAAUUGAGACAAGGGGAUUACCUGGCCAAGAUGGGUUUAUCGCGGUUGGAAAUGUUGUUGAGAUUUUGCAAACGAAAAAUGGGGUAUACGACCGAAGUGCGGUCGAUAAUCAAACGGGAGAUUUUCGUAAUGUGUGCAUAUAACUGUUUUGUGAAAUAAAGCGAAAUUUUAAAAUGCCAUAACUGUCUUAUUUUACA